UGUCAUUCACCCUAACGAAGCAAAAGAAAAGAAAUCAAAACGAGACGCGCUCCCUCCUCGCCCCCGAGAAGCUUGGAGCCCGACUAGGGGCGCACAGCCAGGGACUGCGUCCCAAAGCCCGCCCCGACCAGGCCCGCCCCGCUAUCUCCACCCCGUUAUCCGCUCGCAGCUGCGUUCGGGCCUGGAUUUGCCUCCCCGCCCUCCCCAACUCCGGCACGUUCCACUACCCCCACACGAAUGGCUGCUGGACUACAGGAGUACAGAUCAAACCCAUGCCAGGAACAGAUAGGGUGUUCUU
This is a long non-coding RNA of Mustela erminea (ermine), 298 nucleotides long. RefSeq lists it as uncharacterized. The record is from RefSeq and is a predicted model, not a curated record. Lineage: Eukaryota; Metazoa; Chordata; Mammalia; Carnivora; Mustelidae. The transcript is spliced from 3 exons.